This 1362-nucleotide ribosomal RNA is filed under the name uncultured bacterium. RNAcentral describes it as "bacterial SSU rRNA". It matches the Rfam family "Bacterial small subunit ribosomal RNA", at positions 28 to 1381 of the family's 1533-position model. The record is from RNAcentral.
GAUGAACGCUAGCGGCAGGCCUAACACAUGCAAGUCGAGGGGCAGCGGAAGAAGUAGCUUGCUACUUCUGCCGGCGACCGGCGCACGGGUGCGUAACGCGUAUGCAACCUACCUUUAACAGGGGGAUAAUCCGAAGAAAUUUGGUCUAAUACCCCAUAAUAUUUCAGAAGGCAUCUUUUGAGGUUGAAAACUCCGGUGGUUAAAGAUGGGCAUGCGUUGUAUUAGCUAGAUGGUGAGGUAACGGCUCACCAUUGCGAUGAUACAUAGGGGGACUGAGAGGUUUUCCCCCCACACUGGUACUGAGACACGGACCAGACUCCUACGGGAGGCAGCAGUGAGGAAUAUUGGUCAAUGGACGCAAGUCUGAACCAGCCAUGCCGCGUGCAGGAUGAAGGUGCUAUGCAUUGUAAACUGCUUUUGUACGAGGGUAAAUUCAGAUACGUGUAUCUGUUUGAAAGUAUCGUACGAAUAAGGAUCGGCUAACUCCGUGCCAGCAGCCGCGGUAAUACGGAGGAUCCGAGCGUUAUCCGGAUUUAUUGGGUUUAAAGGGUGCGUAGGCGGUUUGAUAAGUUAGAGGUGAAAGCUCGAUGCUCAACAUCGAAAUUGCCUCUGAUACUGUCAGACUAGAGUGUAGUUGCGGAAGGCGGAAUGUGUGGUGUAGCGGUGAAAUGCUUAGAUAUCACACAGAACACCGAUUGCGAAGGCAGCUUUCCAAGCUAUUACUGACGCUGAGGCACGAAAGCGUGGGUAGCGAACAGGAUUAGAUACCCUGGUAGUCCACGCCGUAAACGAUGAUAACUCGUUGCCGGCGAUAUAGUGUCGGUGACUAAGCGAAAGCGAUAAGUUAUCCACCUGGGGAGUACGUUCGCAAGAAUGAAAACUCAAAGGAAUUGACGGGGGCCCGCACAAGCGGAGGAACAUGUGGUUUAAUUCGAUGAUACGCGAGGAACCUUACCCGGGCUUGAAAGUUAGCGACGGAUCCUGAAAGGGGUCUUCUCUUCGGAGCGCGAAACUAGGUGCUGCAUGGUUGUCGUCAGCUCGUGCCGUGAGGUGUCGGGUUAAGUCCCAUAACGAGCGCAAACCCCUACUGUUAGUUGCCAGCAUGUCAAGAUGGGCACUCUAGCAGGACUGCCGGUGUAAGCCGAGAGGAAGGUGGGGAUGACGUCAAAUCAGCACGGCCCUUACGUCCGGGGCGACACACGUGUUACGAAUGGUCGGUACAGAGGGUAGCUACCUGGUGACAGGAUGCGAAUCUCGAAAGCCGAUCUCAGUUCGGAUUGGAGGCUGAAACUCGCCUCCAUGAAGUUGGAUUCGCUAGUAAUCGCGCAUCAGCCAUGGCGCGGUGAAUACGUUCCCGGGCCU